This is a non-coding RNA of Pelobates cultripes (western spadefoot toad), 216 nucleotides long. Lineage: Eukaryota; Metazoa; Chordata; Amphibia; Anura; Pelobatidae. The record is from the annotation of a GenBank genome assembly.
UCACAUUGUGCAGGUCAAAGCAGCCAUCAUGGACCACCAGCAGUUAAGAAUUCAGAGAUUAUCCAAUUGUUUUCUUGUAGGGAUAUUGACAAACGCUGGGGGGAGGGAGAAAAGUUGUGUUGGCAGAAAAACUGUUGACAAUGACAUUUCUCAGAGGUUUGGUAUUCAGUGCUACCGACUAAGAAACCAUGGUGACCAUUUAAAAUACCAGCUGAC